RNAcentral lists this ribosomal RNA (301 nucleotides) under uncultured bacterium. Its description in RNAcentral is "partial 16S ribosomal RNA". It matches the Rfam family "Bacterial small subunit ribosomal RNA", at positions 509 to 807 of the family's 1533-position model. The record is from RNAcentral.
CAGCCGCCACGGGAAUACGUAGGUGGCAAGCGUUGUCCGGAAUUAUUGGGCGUAAAGGGCUCGCAGGCGGUUUCUUAAGUCUGAUGUGAAAGCCCCCGGCUCAACCGGGGAGGGUCGUUGGAAACUGGGAAACUUGAGUGCAGAAGAGGAGAGUGGAAUUCCACGUGUAGCGGUGAAAUGCGUAGAGAUGUGGAGGAACACCAGUGGCGAAGGCGACUCUCUGGUCUGUAACUGACGCUGAGGAGCGAAAGCGUGGGGAGCGAACAGGAUUAGAUACCCCUGUAGUCCCUGUCUCUUAUAC